RNAcentral lists this unclassified non-coding RNA (4777 nucleotides) under Pollicipes pollicipes. RNAcentral describes it as "cUGBP Elav-like family member 3-A, transcript variant X3". Lineage: Eukaryota; Metazoa; Arthropoda; Thecostraca; Pollicipedomorpha; Pollicipedidae. The record is from RNAcentral.
GGACGGGGUUGCGUGCCGUGCUGUCGUGCGGACUGGCGGGCGGCGCGGGCGGCGGACUGCUCAGCAUGCUGUACAACAUGGCGGCCGUGCCGGGCGGGCUGGUGUCAGAGCCGGGCUACUACGCGCCCUACCCGCAACCGCCGCUGCUGGCGAAGCUGGGCGGAGAGCCGGCGCCGGCCCACAAGGAACCGGACGCCGUGAAGCUCUUCAUCGGCCAGAUCCCGCGCCAUCUGGAGGAGCGCGACCUGCGGCCCAUGUUCGAGGAGUUCGGCAGCAUCUACGAGCUGACCGUGCUCAAGGACAAAUUCACCGGCAUGCAUAAAGGGUGUGCCUUCCUUACCUACUGUGCCAGAGAAAGCGCGGCGAUCGCCCAGAGCUCGCUCCACGAGAAGCGCACUCUUCCCGGGAUGAACCGUCCAAUACAAGUGAAGCCGGCAGACAGCGAGAGCAGGGGCGAUAGCGCCAACGAAGACCGGAAACUCUUUAUUGGUAUGCUGAGUAAGCAGCAGACCGAAGAGGACGUCAAGCAGCUGUUCCAGCCCUACGGUCUGAUCGAGGAGUGCACUAUACUGCGCGGAACCGACGGUGUUAGCAAAGGUUGUGCUUUCGUCAAAUUCGCGUCACAUCAAGAGGCCCAGACCGCAAUCAACAGUUUACAUGGUAGUCAAACGAUGCCCGGUGCAUCGUCUAGUCUAGUGGUCAAGUUCGCCGAUACUGAGAAAGAGCGUCAGCUGAGGAGGAUGCAGCAGAUGGCCGGCAACAUGGGCCUGCUCUCGCCGUUCGUCUUCAACCAGUUUGGCACAUACGGCACCUACACGCAGUUCGUCGACAGCCAGCAGGCGGCUCUGAUGGCGGCCGCCCAGGGCAGCUAUAUCAGCCCGAUGGCAGCCAUCACCCAGCUGCCGCACGGCGCCCUCACCAACGGAAUACCGACCACCAUCGUGCCCACGUCCAACGGCUCGGCGCCGCCCGUCAACGGCGUCAUCCCAAACAUGCCGUCACCGACCAUGUCGACCUUCAGCGUGGGCGCUCCGCCCUCGUCGCAGCCGGUGGUGUCGGAGGCCGGCGUCUACACCAACGGCCUGCCGCAGUCCUACCCGACCUUGCUAUCGUCGCCGACGUCGAUGAACGGCGAGGCCACCAUGCAGUCGGCCGCCUAUCCGGGCAUGCCCUUCUCCGGAGUCGCCGCGUUCCCCCAGCCCUAUCCCCCGAUAGUGACGCAGCCGCCCCUGAUUCUCCCCCGAGAAGGGUGCAGCAUAAGCGGCCCCGAGGGGUGCAAUCUUUUCAUCUACCAUCUGCCGCAAGAGUUCGGCGACGCGGAGCUAAUGCAGAUGUUCCUGCCGUUCGGUAAUGUCAUCUCCUCGAAAGUCUUCAUCGACCGCGCCACCAACCAGAGCAAAUGUUUCGGCUUCGUGAGCUUCGACAACCCGUCGUCGGCGCAGGCGGCCAUCCAGGCCAUGAACGGCUUCCAGGUGGGCAUGAAGCGGCUCAAGGUGCAGCUGAAGCGGCCCAAGGACGCCUCGCGGCCCUACUAGCGCCACCUGCGCAGCCUAAAUCAGCGAUGAACGGUGCUCAAAACUGUUGGCUGUAAUCGCAUAAUGCGCUCCGCCGUCGGCUGGCCCGGCCGCGCGGUGACCAGUGACGCCACCGUCGGCGCCGCGGCGGAACCGGCGCGUGCGCUCCGUCUCCUUCCGACCUCCACCUCGGCUCGGCUUCUUCAAAAGUGACUUCCAGUGAGGACGUGGCAGCUGCGCAAUAGUCGCCAUCUAGCGGGCGGGCUGGCAGCGGGUCCACCCGGAGCUCUGAGUAGUGUUUCGGUAUUUAUUGAGUAUUUAUUGUUGCGCCGCGCCCUGCGCAAGACUGCUGGCUCCAUGCCGGGCGGGAGACCUUCAGAGACAUCUGCAGUGAUACAGCACAAGCUUUGUUUGAGGAGUGGGCCAGGUGGCGCUGACUGUACGUGCCCUUCGGUUGACAUGCGAAACGAGGCGGGACAUUUCGGUUAUGGAGAAAUGUACACGAAGAGAGGUCGAGCUAGGUGAUAGAAGUGAGUAGGAGCAUUCCAAAAAUUGGAGAGACGAUAUACAUUAUUAGAGUAACCUAUGACCAUAGGGAAUAAGAAUAUCUUAAGUUGGAAAACCAGAUAAAAGGGUGCCGCUUAUUCACCUUCAUAGCAUCACUCUCGUUCCUAUGUGAGUGCGAGAGUCAGCUUUAUCUGCAAUUACGUUUCUCGGUUAUGGAUAAUAGACCAUAGCUUGUUUGUGCAUGGUGGUAGGUAACGUUCUUUACUACUACCAUACUUGGUGCUGAGCUUUUCACAAACGUUUUUCGUCAAGAAAACACGACUGUCGUUUAUCAAAAGAGGGCUUUAAGAGAGCUUCAUGUCAUAUCGGGUAUUUUGUGCACCACGUGUACCAUUUAUUCAAAUCUUACUUAAGAUAUUACACUGUCAUAUGAAACGUGCAGAGCUUUAUGUGUUGUCACUUGCGUGUUUUACGCUAGAACGGGCUUUGGAGUAACGAGUCGUCUGGCGGCGCACCUCAGGCGAGCUUGGAUCUCACCGAUCUUCAUUUUUUCUCGACGUCUAGUCACUGAUAACGCUUAUUUUCCUGAGAGCUUGUAUUGCGAGCAUGACAUUGAGCAGCCCGGUACAUGCGUUGGCCCGGGGCGACCUGUUGGCGCUGCGUGUUUAUAUUAUAACAUUCGUGCAUCUUAAUUCACGAGUCAUUGCCCGCGGCACAUAUGAUGUGAACUUAACCACGUAUACCGCACUCAGUCUCCAACGCUGUCGGGAUUCACGCGCCAGCGUCUCGGUGAGCGCGCCGCGUUUGCGCCGUCGUGGCAGCGCUGUCACCGUCGGGACGUGAACAUGGACGUGGACGCGGACGUGGACGUGGACGUGCUGCGAACCCGCAGUGUCGGCCGGUCGGGACGCGUCGGGUUGGCUCGUCCGAGGCUACGGAUCGUGGCCAGUGCCAACAGGGGCGGUCCGGACCGCAGGGUGACGCCUGCAGUUCGGGGCCGCGCUACGACGCCCACUCCCCCCCCCGCUGCCGCGCGCGCGUGAGGUGCAUUUCAUACGACUUGUUUGUUACACACGUAUAUCACUAUGAAAUUGUCAACCUUGGACUGUUGCGCGUUACAAUUCUAGUGUUGCAUUGUUACGACCUGCGCGACAUGUCCACCCGGCGCGGCCUGCGCGUGGAGAUCUGCCGGCGGCCAGAUGACCUCGGCCAGGUCAGCGCCUCGCCCCUGGACGUGCAACCGGCCGACGCCCUGGAAAGCCUGCCGCCCAGGAGCCGAACCCCGGCCACGCCACAAGGGAAACCCGGCCGCUCCAUGAGGAGCCUGAGCGGAGCGCCGCGCUGGCGUACGGGCGCCUGCCGGCAGAGCCGCCCGCCGCGUGCUUCGACGCCGCUGGGGCGCGCCGCCUACUGCGCACGCCGGCCGCGCCGCGGUCCGGGUAGCUCCGGACGACACACGGCCGCGCCAUUGCCGGCCGCUGUGGGACCGCCGGCCGGUAACGUGAUGCCAGUGUGACAGUGUGACGGUGCCGUCACCCAGGACGUCGACGGUGGCUCUUGACUCGCGUGCGUCGCCGGCUUGGUCACGCUCGGAGAACUCUAGUUAAGUGUGCUCCUCGCGCGCGUGCAGGGACUCCUGCGGUGUUGUACAUAGUAGGCAUAUAUCUAUAUACCGUCGAGUAUUUAGCGAGGCCACAUGAGCGAGUGUGUGGGGCGGGCGACGGACAGUGAUGGUGUACUCUCUGUGUUUAGUAGGCACACGGGACCAAAAUCUUCUAAAUACGUUCCUCUUCUGGAUGUCAGGGCGACCCCCGGUCUGUUCGACUGUCAGUACACCUUGUCUGUCUGUCUCGGUUCGCACCCAGCCCUCGCGGGGACGUAGCUAGGUGACGCCGGGGCAGGGGCAGGGUAGGCGCGCGGCGCGCCGCGGCACGCGCGCGUAGUGAUUACAAGAGUGGGGGGGGAGGGGCGGGCCAGCAGAUGCCGGGCUGCACGGCGGCGCUUGCGAGCACCGCCUGGACUUGCCGGGGCGGCUGUAGCGUACGCCCGCAGAAGACCGAGCUUCUGGUAGACUAGAGCUUGAUUCUCGCAAGCAUAUCAGUGGGACGGGGCCGCUGUCGACCGGCUGACCCCAGGUCAAGGGUCGCCAGGCGGGCUCCGUCCCCACCGCUCCUGCACUCGACCUUGACCUCCCAGUAUAAAGCUUUGAUAUAACAGGAGCCCGACCGUUGUGCAGUAUUAGGGGGCUGCAUUUACCGUAGUUAGUGGAUUUUGGAGUGGGUGGUCCUUAGCGACGUGAGCGCAGCAGUUCUGGGGCCCCGCUUGGUGGCGCAUAUACUCAUGCGGACAGACAGACACGGACACUCGACUGGCAAAACGAACAGGGCUGGGGACGGGGCAUCGCCCAGGGCAUGCGAGGACGGCGUUCAUGCAGAGGCGGCCAAUGGUACUGAACGGCCUCUGAUGGUGAGGCGCGUGCGACAUGAAUAUGUUCGCACCUGCGUGCUUGUGUUCUGCAGACGGUCACAUGUGCGCAAGUACAGCUAGUUAAUCCGAUUCGCUUUACCGUCGUGCGGCCAGGAGGCCGUGCGGGUCGGCGCCAGCACCCAUGGUUAAAACAUGUACAGGGUAUUUCCGAGAGAGAGAGAGAGAAGAGCCGCCGCCCGAGGACGCCCCUUGCGCCCGCCGUAACCGUAAUUCGCAGCUUGCAUAUUGUAUAAGACAUUAUUUGUAACAAAAUAAAUUCUCGGCAGAUA